Homo sapiens (human) is the source of this 222-nucleotide long non-coding RNA. RefSeq annotates it as SIL1 antisense RNA 1. The record is from RefSeq and is a predicted model, not a curated record. The transcript has 2 exons. Lineage: Eukaryota; Metazoa; Chordata; Mammalia; Primates; Hominidae.
UAGCAAUCAGCGAGAUUCCGUGGGUGUAGGACCCUCUGAGCCAGAUUGCUGAUUUGGUCAAGAUGUAAACAUAUCGUAGAGCUCCAGCAUGGGGGCUCACGCCUGUAAUACAAACACUUUGGAAGGCCAAGGUGGGAGAAUCACUCAAGCCCAGGAGUUUAAGAUCAACCUGGGCAACAAAGUAAGACCCUGUCUCUACAAAACAAUAAAAAGUAAAAACUA